AUGCCGGAAGGAGUAAAUUCUACCUCUAUAGUUCCUAUUCCUAAAAUUCCUAACCCUACAAGUUUGUCUCAUUACAGGCCAAUUAGUCUAUGUAACGUCAUCUAUAAGGUCAUCUCUAAGUGCCUGGUGAACCGUUUAAGGCCUCUACUUGAUGAUAUUAUUUCCCCGGAACAGAGUGCCUUUGUUCCCGGUCGUAUGAUCACUGAUAAUGCUCUGGUGGCCUUUGAGUGUAUUCAUCACAUUAAACAAGAAAAGGACCCGACCAAAAGUUUUUGCGCAUAUAAGCUCGACCUCUCGAAGGCAUAUGACAGGGUGGAUUGGAAGUUCUUGAAGCAGGUGAUGGAAAAGUUGGGUUUCUCUCACCGAUGGGUGGACUGGAUAAUGUCUUGUGUCACGUCGGUGAGAUAUUCUGUCAAACUUAAUGGGACCCUCUUGGAUUCAUUUGCACCGUCGCGUGGGCUUCGGCAGGGCGAUCCCCUUUCCCCCUUUUUGUUCCUUUUUGUGGCCGACGGUCUAUCAUCUAUUCUGAAGUAUUAUGUGUCCAUUGGCGAUAUUACUCCGGUGAAGGUGUGUAGAAGGGCGCCGGGAAUUUCACAUUUGUUAUUUGCCGAUGACACUAUGUUAUUUUUUGAGGCAACUCGUGUUCAGGCAGAAAAAGUAAAGAUGGCUUUGGAUCAAUAUGGAAGGGCAACAGGCCAAUAUUUG
This 705-nucleotide ribosomal RNA is filed under the name Triticum aestivum (bread wheat). RNAcentral describes it as "partial small subunit ribosomal RNA". The record is from RNAcentral. Lineage: Eukaryota; Viridiplantae; Streptophyta; Magnoliopsida; Poales; Poaceae.